RNAcentral lists this ribosomal RNA (492 nucleotides) under uncultured bacterium. RNAcentral's name for it is "partial 16S ribosomal RNA". It matches the Rfam family "Bacterial small subunit ribosomal RNA", at positions 28 to 507 of the family's 1533-position model. The record is from RNAcentral.
GAUGAACGCUAGCUACAGGCUUAACACAUGCAAGUCGAGGGGAAACGACAUCGAAAGCUUGCUUUUGAUGGGCGUCGACCGGCGCACGGGUGAGUAACGCGUAUCCAACCUGCCCAUCACUUGGGGAUAACCUUGCGAAAGUAAGACUAAUACCCAAUGAUAUCUCUAGAAGACAUCUGAAAGAGAUUGAAGAUUUAUCGGUGAUGGAUGGGGAUGCGUCUGAUUAGCUUGUUGGCGGGGUAACGGCCCACCAAGGCAACGAUCAGUAGGGGUUCUGAGAGGAAGGUCCCCCACAUUGGAACUGAGACACGGUCCAAACUCCUACGGGAGGCAGCAGUGAGGAAUAUUGGUCAAUGGGCGAGAGCCUGAACCAGCCAAGUAGCGUGCAGGAAGACGGCCCUAUGGGUUGUAAACUGCUUUUAUAAGGGAAUAAAGUGAGAGUCGUGACUCUUUUUGUAUGUACCUUAUGAAUAAGGACCGGCUAAUUCCGUG